GACGAACGCUGGCGGCGUGCUUAACACAUGCAAGUCGAACGGAAAGGCCCUGCUUUUGUGGGUUGCUCGAGUGGCGAACGGGUGAGUAACACGUGAGUAACCUGCCCUUGACUUUGGGAUAACUUCAGGAAACUGGGGCUAAUACCGGAUAGGAGCUCCUGCUGCAUGGUGGGGGUUGGAAAGUUUCGGCGGUUGGGGAUGGACUCGCGGCUUAUCAGCUUGUUGGUGGGGUAGUGGCUUACCAAGGCUUUGACGGGUAGCCGGCCUGAGAGGGUGACCGGCGACAAUGGGACUGAGAGACGGACCAGACUCGUACGGGAGGCAGUAGGGGGGAAUAUUGCACAAUGGGCGGAAGUCUGAUGCAGCAACGCCGCGUGCGGGAUGAAGGCCUACGGGUUGUAAACCGAUGUGGCAUGUGACGAAGAGGGAGUGACGGUAAUGGGUAAAGAAGCACCGGCUAACUACGUG
Molecule: ribosomal RNA, 468 nt
Filed under: uncultured bacterium
Lineage: Bacteria
Description: partial 16S ribosomal RNA
Rfam family: Bacterial small subunit ribosomal RNA
Source: RNAcentral